UGCAAGUCGAGCGGACAGAUGGGAGCUUGCUCCCUGAAGUCAGCGGCGGACGGGUGAGUAACACGUGGGCAACCUGCCUGUAAGACUGGGAUAACUCCGGGAAACCGGGGCUAAUACCGGAUAAUUCUUUCCCUCACAUGAGGGAAAGCUGAAAGAUGGUUUCGGCUAUCACUUACAGAUGGGCCCGCGGCGCAUUAGCUAGUUGGUGAGGUAACGGCUCACCAAGGCAACGAUGCGUAGCCGACCUGAGAGGGUGAUCGGCCACACUGGGACUGAGACACGGCCCAGACUCCUACGGGAGGCAGCAGUAGGGAAUCUUCCGCAAUGGACGAAAGUCUGACGGAGCAACGCCGCGUGAGUGAUGAAGGUUUUCGGAUCGUAAAACUCUGUUGUUAGGGAAGAACAAGUACCGGAGUAACUGCCGGUACCUUGACGGUACCUAACCAGAAAGCCACGGCUAACUACGUGCCAGCAGCCGCGGUAAU
This 485-nucleotide ribosomal RNA is filed under the name bacterium PNCr-2. RNAcentral's name for it is "bacterial SSU rRNA". It matches the Rfam family "Bacterial small subunit ribosomal RNA", at positions 56 to 524 of the family's 1533-position model. The record is from RNAcentral.